This 253-nucleotide ribosomal RNA is filed under the name uncultured bacterium. RNAcentral describes it as "partial 16S ribosomal RNA". It matches the Rfam family "Bacterial small subunit ribosomal RNA", at positions 524 to 776 of the family's 1533-position model. The record is from RNAcentral.
UACAGAGGGUGCGAGCGUUGUCCGGAAUCACUGGGCGUAAAGGGCGCGUAGGCGGUCUGCUAAGCGUGUGGUGAAAGCCCGGGGCUCAACCCCGGGUCGGCCGUGCGAACUGGUGGACUGGAGCUUGUCAGAGGCAGGCGGAAUUCCGGGUGUAGCGGUGGAAUGCGUAGAGAUCCGGAAGAACACCGGUGGCGAAGGCGGCCUGCUGGGACAGUGCUGACGCUGAAGCGCGACAGCGUGGGGAGCAAACAGG